This 468-nucleotide ribosomal RNA is filed under the name uncultured bacterium. RNAcentral describes it as "partial 16S ribosomal RNA". It matches the Rfam family "Bacterial small subunit ribosomal RNA", at positions 28 to 507 of the family's 1533-position model. The record is from RNAcentral.
GACGAACGCUGGCGGCGUGCUUAACACAUGCAAGUCGAACGGAAAGGCCCCGCUUUUGUGGGGUGCUCGAGUGGCGAACGGGUGAGCAACACGUGAGUAACCUGCCCUUGACUUUGGGAUAACUUCAGGAAACUGGGGCUAAUACCGGAUAGGAGCUCCUGCUGCAUGGUGGGGGUUGGAAAGUUUCGGCGGUUGGGGAUAGACUCGCGGCUUAUCAGCUUGUUGGUGGGGUAGUGGCUUACCAAGGCUUUGACGGGUAGCCGGCCUGAGAGGGUGACCGGCCACAUUGGGACUGAGAUACGGCCCAGACUCCUACGGGAGGCAGCAGUGGGGAAUAUGGCACAGUGGGCGGAAGCCUGAUGCAGCAACGCCGCGUGCGGGAUGACGGCCUUCGGGUUGUAAACCGCUUUCGCCUGUGACGAAGCGUGAGUGACGGUAAUGGGUAAAGAAGCACCGGCUAACUACGUG